ACGAACGCUGGCGGCGUGCCUAAUACAUGCACGUAGAACGCUGAAGGAGGAGCUUGCUUCUCUGGAUGAGUUGCGAACGGGUGAGUAACGCGUAGGUAACCUGCCUGGUAGCGGGGGAUAACUAUUGGAAACGAUAGCUAAUACCGCAUAAUAGCAGUUGUUGCAUGACAACUGUUUGAAAGGUGCAAUUGCACCACUACCAGAUGGACCUGCGUUGUAUUAGCUAGUUGGUGGGGUAACGGCUCACCAAGGCGACGAUACAUAGCCGACCUGAGAGGGUGAGCGGCCACACUGGGACUGAGACACGGCCCAGACUCCUACGGGAGGCAGCAGUAGGGAAUCUUCGGCAAUGGACGGAAGUCUGACCGAGCAACGCCGCGUGAGUGAAGAAGGUUUUCGGAUCGUAAAGCUCUGUUGUAAGAGAAGAACGAGUGUGAGAGUGGAAAGUUCACACUGUGACGGUAUCUUACCAGAAAGGGACGGCUAACUACGUG
RNAcentral lists this ribosomal RNA (494 nucleotides) under uncultured bacterium. RNAcentral describes it as "partial 16S ribosomal RNA". It matches the Rfam family "Bacterial small subunit ribosomal RNA", at positions 29 to 507 of the family's 1533-position model. The record is from RNAcentral.